CUCAGGAUGAACGCUAGCGGCAGGCCUAAUACAUGCAAGUCGAACGGUAAGGUCUCUUCGGAGAUACACGAGUGGCGCACGGGUGCGUAACGCGUAUGCAACCUACCUUGAACUGGAAGAUAGCCCCGAGAAAUCGGGAUUAAUAUUCCAUAAUGUCCAUUUUUUGCAUGUGAGAUGGAUUAAAGUUACGGCGGUUCAAGAUGGGCAUGCGUGACAUUAGCUAGUUGGUGAGGUAACGGCUCACCAAGGCGACGAUGUCUAGGGGUCCUGAGAGGGUUUCCCCCCACACUGGUACUGAGACACGGACCAGACUCCUACGGGAGGCAGCAGUAAGGAAUAUUGGUCAAUGGACGCAAGUCUGAACCAGCCAUGCCGCGUGCAGGAUGACUGCCCUACGGGUUGUAAACUGCUUUUACGUGAGAAAAAACUCCCCGAUUCGUUCGGGGACUGAUGGUAUCACAUGAAUAAGCAUCGGCUAACUCCGUGCCAGCAGCCGCGGUAAUACGGAGGAUGCAAGCGUUAUCCGGAUUCAUUGGGUUUAAAGGGUGUGCAGGCGGAAUGAUAAGUCAGAGGUGAAAUCCCCCGGCUCAACCGGGGACCUGCCUUUGAUACUGUUGUUCUUGAGUAUAGUUGAAGUGGGCGGAAUGUGUCAUGUAGCGGUGAAAUGCAUAGAUAUGACACAGAACACCGAUAGCGAAGGCAGCUCACUAACCUAUAACUGACGCUCAUGCACGAAAGCGUGGGGAGCAAACAGGAUUAGAUACCCUGGUAGUCCACGCUGUAAACUAUGAUCACUAGUUGUUAGCGAUACACUGUUAGCGACUGAGGGAAACCAUUAAGUGAUCCACCUGGGGAGUACGGCCGCAAGGUUGAAACUCAAAGGAAUUGACGGGGGCCCGCACAAGCGGAGGAGCAUGUUUGGUUUAAUUCGAUGAUACGCGAGGAACCCUUACCUUGGGCUUAAAUGCAGGACGACAUCCGCGUGAAAACAGGAUUUCUUCGGACGGCCUGCAAGGUGCUGCAUGGUUGUCGUCAGCUCGUGCCGUGAGGUGUCGGGUUAAGUCCCAUAACGAGCGCAACCCCUAUUCUUAGUUGCCAUCAGGUAAUGCUGGGAACUCUAAGGAAACUGCCUACGCAAGUAGUGAGGAAGGUGGGGAUGACGUCAAAUCAGCACGGCCCUUAUGU
RNAcentral lists this ribosomal RNA (1185 nucleotides) under uncultured organism. RNAcentral's name for it is "bacterial SSU rRNA". It matches the Rfam family "Bacterial small subunit ribosomal RNA", at positions 23 to 1207 of the family's 1533-position model. The record is from RNAcentral.